Molecule: transfer RNA, 74 nt
Filed under: Promethearchaeota archaeon
Lineage: Archaea; Promethearchaeati; Promethearchaeota
Description: Candidatus Lokiarchaeota archaeon tRNA-Lys
Source: RNAcentral
GGGCCAUUAGCGCAGGCAGGUAGCGCAGCAGGCUUUUAACCUGAAGGUCGUGGGUUCAAUACAAAUCUGGGAUU